RNAcentral lists this unclassified non-coding RNA (322 nucleotides) under soil metagenome. RNAcentral's name for it is "partial contains 5.8S ribosomal RNA, internal transcribed spacer 2, and large subunit ribosomal RNA". The stretch from base 2 to 119 matches the Rfam family "5.8S ribosomal RNA", at positions 37 to 154 of the family's 154-position model. The record is from RNAcentral.
GUGAAGAACGUAGUGAAAUGCGAUAAGUAAUGCGAAUUGCAGAAUUCAGUGAGUCAUCGAAUCUUUGAACGCACAUUGCGCCCUGUGGUAUUCCGCAGGGCAUGCCUGUUCGAGCGUCAUUUCAACCCUCAAGCUCUGCUUGGUGUUGGGCCCUGCCCGCUGCGGCCGGCCCUAAAGACAGUGGCGGUGCCGCCUGGCCCUGAGCGUAGAACAUCUCUCGCUCCAGUGCCCGGUGGUAGCCUGCCAGAACCCCAACUCUCGUGGUUGACCUCGGAUCAGGUAGGGAUACCCGCUGAACUUAAGCAUAUCAAUAAGCGGACGA